This 244-nucleotide ribosomal RNA is filed under the name uncultured bacterium. RNAcentral describes it as "partial 16S ribosomal RNA". It matches the Rfam family "Bacterial small subunit ribosomal RNA", at positions 528 to 772 of the family's 1533-position model. The record is from RNAcentral.
GAGGAUGCGAGCGUUAUCCGGAUUUAUUGGGUUUAAAGGGUGCGUAGGCGGGUUCUUAAGUCAGCGGUAAAAUUUAGAGGCUCCACCUCUUCCCGCCGUUGAAACUGGGGACCUUGAGUGGGCGAGAAGUAUGCGGAAUGCGUGGUGUAGCGGUGAAAUGCAUAGAUAUCACGCAGAACUCCGAUUGCGAAGGCAGCAUACCGGCGCCCGACUGACGCUGAAGCACGAAAGCGUGGGUAUCGAA